CUCUCAGAGAGUUGAUUCUGGCUCAGGAUGAACGCUAGCGACAGGCUUAACACAUGCAAGUCGAGGGCAGCACGGAGUAGCAAUACUUGGUGGCGACCGGCGCACGGGUGAGUAACGCGUAUGCAACCUACCUAUCAGAGGGGAAUAACCCGGCGAAAGUCGGACUAAUACCGCAUAAAACAGGGGCACCGCAUGGUGAUAUUUGUUAAAGAAAUUCGCUGAUAGAUGGGCAUGCGUUCCAUUAGGUAGUUGGUGAGGUAACGGCUCACCAAGCCGACGAUGGAUAGGGGAACUGAGAGGUUGGUCCCCCACACUGGUACUGAGACACGGACCAGACUCCUACGGGAGGCAGCAGUGAGGAAUAUUGGUCAAUGGGCGGGAGCCUGAACCAGCCAAGUCGCGUGAAGGAAGAAGGAUCUAUGGUUCGUAAACUUCUUUUGCGGGGGAAUAAAGUGCAGGACGUGUCCUGUUUUGUAUGUACCCUGAGAAUAAGGAUCGGCUAACUCCGUGCCAGCCGCUGC
RNAcentral lists this ribosomal RNA (521 nucleotides) under uncultured bacterium. Its description in RNAcentral is "bacterial SSU rRNA". It matches the Rfam family "Bacterial small subunit ribosomal RNA", at positions 1 to 518 of the family's 1533-position model. The record is from RNAcentral.